Molecule: unclassified non-coding RNA, 270 nt
Filed under: Hevea brasiliensis (rubber tree)
Lineage: Eukaryota; Viridiplantae; Streptophyta; Magnoliopsida; Malpighiales; Euphorbiaceae
Source: RNAcentral
GCCGUCAAUCCCUCGCCGGAGCUCCGCCGUUCCGAUCGGCUUUCGACGUCCUCGACGCCGACCGCGACGGCAAGAUCAGCAGUGAGGAUCUCCGCUCCUUCUACUCGGGGCUUCCUUCCUGUCCCAGCGAGGAGGACAUCAGCUCCAUGAUCUCAGCUGCUGAUGCCGACAGCGACGGCUUCGUCCAGUUCGGCGAGUUCGAGCUCGUCCUCGGCCGCUCGCCCGGCGGAGGUGGAGUGAUGGAGGAGGUGUUUUGGGUGAUGGAUCGGG